CGGGAGAUAGCUGGUUCUCCCCGAAAGCUAUUUAGGUAGCGCCUCGUGAAUUCAUCUCCGGGGGUAGAGCACUGUUUCGGCAAGGGGGUCAUCCCGACUUACCAACCCGAUGCAAACUGCGAAUACCGGAGAAUGUUAUCACGGGAGACACACGGCGGGUGCUAACGUCCGUCGUGAAGAGGGAAACAACCCAGACCGCCAGCUAAGGUCCCAAAGUCAUGGUUAAGUGGGAAACGAUGUGGGAAGGCCCAGACAGCCAGGAUGUUGGCUUAGAAGCAGCCAUCAUUUAAAGAAAGCGUAAUAGCUCACUGGUCGAGUCGGCCUGCGCGGAAGAUGUAACGGGGCUAAACCAUGCACCGAAGCUGCGGCAGCGACGCUUAUGCGUUGUUGGGUAGGGGAGCGUUCUGUAAGCCUGUGAAGGUGUGCUGUGAGGCAUGCUGGAGGUAUCAGAAGUGCGAAUGCUGACAUAAGUAACGAUAAAGCGGGUGAAAAGCCCGCUCGCCGGAAGACCAAGGGUUCCUGUCCAACGUUAAUCGGGGCAGGGUGAGUCGACCCCUAAGGCGAGGCCGAAAGGCGUAGUCGAUGGGAAACAGGUUAAUAUUCCUGUACUUGGUGUUACUGCGAAGGGGGGACGGAGAAGGCUAUGUUGGCCGGGCGACGGUUGUCCCGGUUUAAGCGUGUAGGCUGGUUUUCCAGGCAAAUCCGGAAAAUCAAGGCUGAGGCGUGAUGACGAGGCACUACGGUGCUGAAGCAACAAAUGCCCUGCUUCCAGGAAAAGCCUCUAAGCAUCAGGUAACAUCAAAUCGUACCCCAAACCGACACAGGUGGUCAGGUAGAGAAUACCAAGGCGCUUGAGAGAACUCGGGUGAAGGAACUAGGCAAAAUGGUGCCGUAACUUCGGGAGAAGGCACGCUGAUAUGUAGGUGAGGUCCCUCGCGGAUGGAGCUGAAAUCAGUCGAAGAUACCAGCUGGCUGCAACUGUUUAUUAAAAACACAGCACUGUGCAAACACGAAAGUGGACGUAUACGGUGUGACGCCUGCCCGGUGCCGGAAGGUUAAUUGAUGGGGUUAGCGGUAACGCGAAGCUCUUGAUCGAAGCCCCGGUAAACGGCGGCCGUAACUAUAACGGUCCUAAGGUAGCGAAAUUCCUUGUCGGGUAAGUUCCGACCUGCACGAAUGGCGUAAUGAUGGCCAGGCUGUCUCCACCCGAGACUCAGUGAAAUUGAACUCGCUGUGAAGAUGCAGUGUACCCGCGGCAAGACGGAAAGACCCCGUGAACCUUUACUAUAGCUUGACACUGAACAUUGAGCCUUGAUGUGUAGGAUAGGUGGGAGGCUUUGAAGUGUGGACGCCAGUCUGCAUGGAGCCGACCUUGAAAUACCACCCUUUAAUGUUUGAUGUUCUAACGUUGACCCGUAAUCCGGGUUGCGGACAGUGUCUGGUGGGUAGUUUGACUGGGGCGGUCUCCUCCUAAAGAGUAACGGAGGAGCACGAAGGUUGGCUAAUCCUGGUCGGACAUCAGGAGGUUAGUGCAAUGGCAUAAGCCAGCUUGACUGCGAGCGUGACGGCGCGAGCAGGUGCGAAAGCAGGUCAUAGUGAUCCGGUGGUUCUGAAUGGAAGGGCCAUCGCUCAACGGAUAAAAGGUACUCCGGGGAUAACAGGCUGAUACCGCCCAAGAGUUCAUAUCGACGGCGGUGUUUGGCACCUCGAUGUCGGCUCAUCACAUCCUGGGGCUGAAGUAGGUCCCAAGGGUAUGGCUGUUCGCCAUUUAAAGUGGUACGCGAGCUGGGUUUAGAACGUCGUGAGACAGUUCGGUCCCUAUCUGCCGUGGGCGCUGGAGAACUGAGGGGGGCUGCUCCUAGUACGAGAGGACCGGAGUGGACGCAUCACUGGUGUUCGGGUUGUCAUGCCAAUGGCACUGCCCGGUAGCUAAAUGCGGAAGAGAUAAGUGCUGAAAGCAUCUAAGCACGAAACUUGCCCCGAGAUGAGUUCUCCCUGACUCCUUGAGAGUCCUGAAGGAACGUUGAAGACGACGACGUUGAUAGGCCGGGUGUGUAAGCGCAGCGAUGCGUUGAGCUAACCGGUACUAAUGAACCGUGAGGCUUAACCUUACAACGCCGAAG
RNAcentral lists this ribosomal RNA (2123 nucleotides) under Escherichia coli. RNAcentral's name for it is "partial 23S ribosomal RNA". It matches the Rfam family "Bacterial large subunit ribosomal RNA", at positions 839 to 2925 of the family's 2925-position model. The record is from RNAcentral. Lineage: Bacteria; Pseudomonadati; Pseudomonadota; Gammaproteobacteria; Enterobacterales; Enterobacteriaceae.